Molecule: ribosomal RNA, 445 nt
Filed under: uncultured bacterium
Lineage: Bacteria
Description: partial 16S ribosomal RNA
Rfam family: Bacterial small subunit ribosomal RNA
Source: RNAcentral
GUGAGGAAUAUUGGUCAAUGGACGGAAGUCUGAACCAGCCAUGCUGCGUGAAGGAUGAAGGCGUUCUGCGUUGUAAACUUCUUUUAUCAGAGAAGAAACCACUGAUUUCUAUUAGUGUUGACGGUAUCUGAUGAAUAAGCACCGGCUAACUCCGUGCCAGCAGCCGCGGUAAUACGGAGGGUGCAAGCGUUAUCCGGAUUUACUGGGUUUAAAGGGUGUGUAGGCGGGCUAUUAAGUCAGGGGUGAAAUCCCGGGGCUCAACCUCGGAACUGCCUUUGAUACUAUUAGUCUUGAAUUAUGUUGAGGUUGGCGGAAUAUAACAUGUAGCGGUGAAAUGCAUAGAUAUGUUAUAGAACACCGAUUGCGAAGGCAGCUGGCUAAACAUAUAUUGACGCUGAGGCACGAAAGCGUGGGUAGCGAACAGGAUUAGAUACCCGUGUAGUCC